RNAcentral lists this ribosomal RNA (447 nucleotides) under uncultured bacterium. RNAcentral describes it as "partial 16S ribosomal RNA". It matches the Rfam family "Bacterial small subunit ribosomal RNA", at positions 29 to 507 of the family's 1533-position model. The record is from RNAcentral.
AACGAACGCUAUCGGUAUGCUUAACACAUGCAAGUCGGACGGACUAAUUAGGGCUUGCUCCAAUUAGUUAGUGGCAGACGGGUGAGUAACACGUGGGAAUCUGCCCCUCAGUACGGAAUAACUUUUAGAAAUAAAAGCUAAUACCGUAUAUUCUCUACAGAGGAAAGAUUUAUCGCUGAUGGAUGAGCCCGCGUCAGAUUAGGUAGUUGGUGAGGUAACGGCUCACCAAGCCGACGAUCUGUAGCUGGUCUGAGAGGAUGAUCAGCCACACUGGGACUGAGACACGGCCCAGACUCCUACGGGAGGCAGCAGUGGGGAAUAUUGGACAAUGGGCGAAAGCCUGAUCCAGCAAUACCGAGUGAGUGAUAAAGGCCCUAGGGUUGUAAAGCUCUUUUAGCAAGGAAGAUAAUGACGUUACUUGCAGAAAAAGCCCCGGCUAACUCCGUG